GAUGGACGCUGGCGGCGUGCCUAAUACAUGCAAGUCGAGCGAACGGACGAGAAGCUUGCUUCUCUGAUGUUAGCGGCGGACGGGUGAGUAACACGUGGAUAACCUACCUAUAAGACUGGGCUAACUUCGGGAAACCGUAGCUAAUACCGGAUAAUAUUUUGAACCGCAUGGUUCAAAAGUGAAAGACGGUCUUGCUGUCACUUAUAGAUGGAUCCGCGCUGCAUUAGCUUGUUGGUAAGGUAACGGCUUACCAAGGCAACGAUGCAUAGCCGACCUGAGAGGGUGAUCGGCCACACUGGAACUGAGACACGGUCCAGACUCCUACGGGAGGCAGCAGUAGGGAAUCUUCCGCAAAGGGCGAAAGCCUGACGGAGCAACGCCGCGUGAGUGAUGAAGGUCUUCGGAUCGUAAAACUCUGUUAUUAGGGAAGAACAUAUGUGUAAGUAACUGUGCACAUCUUGACGGUACCUAAUCAGAAAGCCACGGCUAACUACGUG
RNAcentral lists this ribosomal RNA (497 nucleotides) under uncultured bacterium. Its description in RNAcentral is "partial 16S ribosomal RNA". It matches the Rfam family "Bacterial small subunit ribosomal RNA", at positions 28 to 507 of the family's 1533-position model. The record is from RNAcentral.